GUCAUUGUGUCUGGCUGUUCCCUGCAGUGGUGGGCACGGAGCAGCCAGGGCACAGCUCUGCAGCCCUAGCCAUACAGUCCCUGCAGGACAGAAAAGGGGCACGGAGUGGGAGGGAACCAUAGAAUCAUCGAAUCCUUAAGGUGGGAAAAGACCUCUAGGAUCCCCAGUCACAGCCUACUGACCGUAUCCUUCAGUGCCACAUCCCCACAGCUCUGUACACCUCCAGAGACAGUGAAUCCCCCACCUCCCUGGGCAGCUGUGUCAGUGCUGACUGCUCUUUGGAGAAGAAAUACUCCCUAAUAUCCAGGGAGAGGAAGGCAGAGAAGGAUCAUUGCGUGCCCUGACCCCAGUGCAGUCUGACCACGAGAGGGACCUUUACCAGCAAACCUGCAGGACGUUUAACCAAAGUAACCCCGAUGGAAGGAAAAUGGAGCUGUGCUUUACAGCCGACGGUAAGGGUUAAAUGGAAGGGAAGAAAUUCAGAGGCUCAGCUAUGGCCCGGAGCCUGAAGUGGUGCUUCAUCUGCCCAAGGCUGUAAUAAAACCUGAUGGCAAACACUG
Gallus gallus (chicken) is the source of this 560-nucleotide long non-coding RNA. RefSeq lists it as uncharacterized. The record is from RefSeq and is a predicted model, not a curated record. The transcript has 2 exons. NCBI's taxonomy places the organism in Eukaryota, Metazoa, Chordata, Aves, Galliformes, Phasianidae.